RNAcentral lists this transfer RNA (71 nucleotides) under bovine gut metagenome. It matches the Rfam family "tRNA". From Rfam's summary of the family: Transfer RNA (tRNA) molecules are approximately 80 nucleotides in length. Their secondary structure includes four short double-helical elements and three loops (D, anti-codon, and T loops). The record is from RNAcentral.
GGGAUAUAGCUCAGUUGGUAGAGCGUCGCGUUCGCAACGCGAAGGUCUCGAGUUCGAGUCUCGUUAUCUCC